GUGGGGAAUAUUGGACAAUGGGCGAAAGCCUGAUCCAGCCAUGCCGCGUGUGUGAAGAAGGUCUUCGGAUUGUAAAGCACUUUAAGUUGGGAGGAAGGGCAGUAAGUUAAUACCUUGCUGUUUUGACGUUACCGACAGAAUAAGCACCGGCUAACUUCGUGCCAGCAGCCGCGGUAAUACGAAGGGUGCAAGCGUUAAUCGGAAUUACUGGGCGAAAAGCGCGCGUAGGUGGUUUUGUAAGUUGGAGGUGAAAUCCCCGGGCUCAACCUGGGAACUGCCUCCAAAACUGCAGGACUAGAGUACGGUAGAGGGUAGUGGAAUUUCCUGUGUAGCGGUGAAAUGCGUAGAUAUAGGAAGGAACACCAGUGGCGAAGGCGACUACCUGGACUGAUACUGACACUGAGGUGCGAAAGCGUGGGGAGCAAACAGGAUUAGAAACCCUGGUAGUCC
RNAcentral lists this ribosomal RNA (450 nucleotides) under uncultured bacterium. Its description in RNAcentral is "bacterial SSU rRNA". It matches the Rfam family "Bacterial small subunit ribosomal RNA", at positions 354 to 796 of the family's 1533-position model. The record is from RNAcentral.